This 253-nucleotide ribosomal RNA is filed under the name uncultured bacterium. RNAcentral's name for it is "partial 16S ribosomal RNA". It matches the Rfam family "Bacterial small subunit ribosomal RNA", at positions 524 to 776 of the family's 1533-position model. The record is from RNAcentral.
UACGUAGGGGGCAAGCGUUGUUCGGAUUUACUGGGCGUAAAGGGCGCGUAGGCGGCAAUUCAAGUCAGCUGUGAAACCUCCGGGCUUAACUCGGAACGGUCAGCUGAUACUGCUUUGCUAGAGUGCAGAAGGGGCAAUCGGCAUCCUUGGUGUAGCGGUGAAAUGCGUAGAUAUCAAGAGGAACACCUGAGGUGAAGACGGGUUGCUGGGCUGACACUGACGCUGAGGCGCGAAAGCGUGGGGAGCAAACAGG